AGAACGAACGCUGGCGGUCGUGCCUAACACAUGCAAGUCCAACGUGAAAGGGGGAGGCAAUCCCCCGGUAGGGUGGCAAACGGGUGAGUAAUACAUGGGUUGAUCUACCUUAGGGAUGGGGAUAUCCUUCCGAAAGGAGGGGCAAUACCGAAUAUUGUCCGGUAGCCGUGAAGGUUCCGGGGAAAGGGAGGCCGUCUGAUACAAGCUUUCGCCUUAAGAUGAGCCCAUAGGCCCAUCCAGCUAGUUGGUAGGGUAAAGGUCCUACCAAGGCUACGACGGGUCGCUGGUCUGAGA
Molecule: ribosomal RNA, 294 nt
Filed under: uncultured prokaryote
Description: partial 16S ribosomal RNA
Rfam family: Bacterial small subunit ribosomal RNA
Source: RNAcentral